Molecule: long non-coding RNA, 14975 nt
Filed under: Vigna radiata
Lineage: Eukaryota; Viridiplantae; Streptophyta; Magnoliopsida; Fabales; Fabaceae
Description: long non-coding RNA (VRAD_LNC000475)
Source: RNAcentral
UUUACUGAUAAAAGGACCCAUCAUAAUAGCUGAAAAAGUAAAAUUUAUUAUAAGAGACGAAAUUCACUUAUUUCUACAAAAAUUGAAAUUAUUUUCAAAAGUUAUUAUAACAAAUUUAGGAAGACUCGUCAUAGUAAGUCCUCCCCAUAACUGUUAGUUCACCACUUUUGUCAAAAUUCCUAAUUUCACUCUUGUUUCAUUCAUCUCCUCAUUUUUUUUUUUUCACAAACAUUCUCUCAAGUAGUUGCCUCCACCAUUGAUAUAAUUGCCUCCACAUGUCGCAACGUUGUUGCUUCUCCACGUCAUCCUCUCUCCCAUACACCUUCUCCAACCCAACAUUUUUUCUCUGCAUAAACAAAUUUAUUAUUCUCUUUAUCUCUCUCCCAACCCACUAAUCCAUAAUACAUUCACACAACAAAUGCAACUGAGUUAUUUUGUUUUUCUGAACCAAAUCCUUCUAACCCAAAUGUUUUAUUCUUAAAUUUUCCUUCUUACAGAAGGUUUGUGACCCGUCGUUUCGGUGAUAUAUGAAAUACCAAUUUGGUUUUCCCUCUGUCAAUUUCACUUCUUCGAGCCAACUUUCUUUCUUGGAGCACUACUCCCUUUCUUCGUUUCCCAAUCCACUUGAGUCUGAAAAAAUUGUUUCUCCUUUGCUCGUUUGGUGGUGGUGAGGUGGCUUCGAGCUCGUUUGGUGGUGGUGAGGUGGCUUCGAGCUCGUUUGGUCGUCUGAGGAGGAUGUUGGAGUCUCUACACAAGGCUCAGUGGUGCGUUUCUGUCAUCUUUGUUAGGGGUUUAGUCUACGGUUGAGGGGUUUUCGUUGACGACUAUUCUAAGGUAAAGGCUUACUUGUUAUCUUUUGUUUUGUUGUCGAGGAGGUUGUCGUCGAGGUAGGGUGUCGACAAUCCCUACUGUGGAGAUUUUGUGCUAUGUGAGCGAGGUUUAUCUAAAGCAUCUUGGUGGAGGUUUUGUGUUGUGUUUCUUCUCCUACUGUCAAGGUAAGUAGGUUUCUGAUUGAACAUGAAUGUGUUGAGCCCCUAUUCUUGGUAACAGGGAGUUUAAUGAUUAAUAUUUCUUGGUGUUACGUUUUUCUAAUGUAAUUUAUCUAUUAUUGUACAAGGUUUUAGGGUUUCGAUCAGGGGCUGAGCACAAAACGUGUGGAAGGUUCCAACACAGUGGGUUAAAGUUGGUUGCAAAAGGGCUACACUCAAGUGUCCAACAGUUCAUCAUUUCCAAGUAGGUAAAGUUCAUCCUCUUGUGUUUGCCAUGUUCAUUGUGUUCUGUUAAUUGCCUUAUGAACAGAGAGUGAAUUAUAAUUGAAUUUGGAUUGUAAAGUUUGCAAUUUGAGCAAUUUGAGCAUGUAUGAAUUGCCUAUUUUGAUGAUAGCCUUGAUGGGAAAUAAAUUGUGCAAUUUGAGCAUGGAAACUAAUGUUGAUGUUGUUUUAGUUUGCUGCUAAUUGGUCUAUCUAAAAGACUAUAGCCUUAAUUGAUUAAUCCUCCCCCAAAAUAACCAUCCCCCGACUCUUUUCUGGCCACUGAUGGCCUGGACCGACCGGUCGUCCUGGAUUAUGGCGAUCGGCCUCAGACCGCUCGAUAACCACUCCUCACGUUCGUCCCCCAAAGGACUCGUCAUCUAACCUGCAACCCACCAACAUCUUGAGGUCUUGUACAGACUCGACCAUCGUCCCCUUCUGUUUGGAUGCUGCCAAACGCUCAACGUAGGUUUCAAACCUUAUCACUAGAGCUUCCUUCAAACCAUCCCAAGAACGAUUCUUGACUUUCUCCUUCCAAGCUCUGAACCAGUAACCCGCGCUCCCCUCCAUAGUGAAUUCUGCUAGGCGCACCCUUUCUCCCUCUACCACACCUUGCAACUUGAAGAACUUCUCUACCUUGGAUACCUACCCUAACAGAUCAAACCCUUCGAAAGUGGGUAGUUCUACCCUUUUCUUCCCGCAGGGUUGCACUUGGCGUUCAUCCCCUCUCUCCUUCAUCUUCCUCUCGUCGGUCCCAAUGUUGGCCUUCCUAGUUGUGGCCUCGACCACCCAACCUCCUUAUGAUUUCUCGCAAAUCUUGGCAUAUUGCUUUAUAAUCUUGGCAUAUUGUUGCAUAAUCUGGUUGCAGCGCUCCUUUCUGCGCCUUCAUUCUAUCAAUCGCAAUUUCCUUCACCCCCACACAAUUCCGACGACAUGUCUCGAUAUGGCAGUUUCUUGAAACGGCAGGUUCUGGAAUCUGGCGCCCCCACUUCGAAACGACAAUUUCUUGGUAACGUUUUUAUCCCUUCUUGAUUUUCUGACACUUGUCUCCUAAGGAUACUCGGCAACGCUCCUGAUGAUUUUGCAAUUUCUUGAUAAUCCGACAACUCCUUGAUCCUUCACCCCCACUUCAAUAACGGCAAGUCGAACCAAUUUGUUAGAUUCCUGGGUUUGGAACCUAACGAGAACUCACUCAAAAGAUAGAAACAGAAAGAAAGAAUAGGUCUUCUAUAUUAUUCACAAUAAAAGAAAGCUAUUUUACAAUGACUGGGUUGGGAGCAUAACCUUCCUGGCUGAGGGCAUAACCCUACACAACAAAAAACUCGAUACCCCCUGACACAUAACCGAGUCUUAUUUAUAGAAUUCCUCCACCUUCUAUUUUAAACCAUUAAGUCCUCUCACCCUGUAUCCUAUCACUCAUGGUUCCCUCCCAAUUGUAGGGCAUCAAUUGUAUAUAGAUGGUUAAAAUAUGCCAAACAAAGAAUAAAGUCAUACAAGCAAUGUGUUAUACUAAAAGGUGAAUGGAGUGUACAUCUCAACAAAAGAAUACCAAUCCACCGCUCAAUUAUGCACUUUCUUCAAUUUAGUUUUGCAGCUUGUCUACAAAGUUUCCAGUGGUCUAUCAAGGCCGUUUCGGUCUCCGACAAGGGGGCUGCAAUGCAACAACAAAUUCCUAACUCAAAAACCAACAUACGAGAGCACAAGCCCAUGUUGCAUGAAGGAGGCACAGGUACAUAUUCGUCCCUCUACCCAAACAACCAAACAAAAUCAAAAUAUAUCCUUAUUAAAGAAGUGUAUGAUCAAUUCAUCAAACUUGAUUAAAAGUAUGCAAAUGUAAUUUCUUCUAUAAAACAUGGAACAUAGGCAACCUUUUUUAUGGAGGAAGAAUAAAGAAACAAAAAAUGUUUUUAAAAAUCACUCCUCCCUCUCCCCGAAAGUUUACUUCAUGUUCUGUAUUUCAGAGUAGCAAAGCAUUUAAAAAAAAAUCAGGUGCUAAGAACCAAAACAGUGCGUGAAAAAUUCAACAUACCGAGCAAGUCUGCAAAUGAACCUGUCAAAAGUGAUGAAUCCAUUAACAGAGGUGGUGAGAAGACUUGAUCCUGUGCAUCCUCAAAGUCAAAAAUUGACCGCUGAGCAUCAGAUGUUGCAUUUGAACCAGUAUACGAGAGAAACCCAUUUACAUUGUCAUAAUCAGAGAGCCUUUCCAAAUCAUUCAACAUAUCUGGAAGUUCACCAAACUUGCUCAUCCCAUGCCCACCGGAUGCAUGACUCUCAAGAAAGGAAUCAUCCAUUUGUGAUACAAAUAAUCUUUUGCUUCUCAAUGAAACUCCCCCUUUUUCGGCAUCUAAAUGAGAAAAGCUGGUUUCUGAAAGGGGGACAAAGAAGUGCUCAGAACUUCCAUCAGAUUGACUAUCCCGUGAUGAAUCUGAACUACAUGACCGCAAUGACAGCGCUGCUUCUCUUACCGACCUCUUCAAAUUCUGGAGAUACAAACUGUCACUUUCUACAAAACAAAGCCAUUAUCAGCCACUUUUUCUAACAUAACGAUGAAAUGCCCUUGAAAAGAAUAUCAUAAGCUUCAAUAAAAACUUAACAUAGCUCAAGCAAGAGUUCUUUAAGGAUAAGCAUGGACGGUGCACAAACUCACUUUCCUUUGUGCUGAAGCUUAAUUGAAUUACAAAGAAUGGGAAUAAUCCAAGGGUUGAAUUCUGAACCACUUGGUCAAAGAGGCUUUUCAUACGAUGUCAAGCACCAACUCUCCUAAAAGCAUAAAUUGGGUGGAGGCUCAAGGAUGUUUUAUGACAAAACAUAGACAAAACUCUUAGGACGACAAAGCAUACCUUCAGCUGAACUCGCUACUUCAUUAUUUAAUGGAGGAUCCAGAGAUUUGCUGUCAGAGAGGUUCUCAGUUUGGCUGGUUUGAGGGGCAUUACUCUGGCGCCUUUGGACAUUUCCAGCUUUUCCAGAAGAUGGGGUCAAGCUAAACAAUUUAGGAAGCUUUAAAGUGGGAGGACUAAUAGAAACCUUGUCAAGCUGAAUAUUAGAUAAUCUUGAAGUCACCUCAUUAACAUCAUCAGUGCUAUUGUCCUAAACAAUGUCAAGUGAUAUGGAAACAAUAGGGGCAAAAUCAGACAUGAUAUUGUGAAGGGAUUAAACCAACAAAACCACAUUAUACUAAAAUAGAAGAAUACCAUCCUCCCACUACUCUGUGAUUGUAUAGGUGAUGUUGACCGACCAUUGUGUCUACUCAUUGGUGGUAGAUUUGCAGCUAUACAGUUAACCUUUUCUGUACACUCUGAUAUGGACUUCUGUAUGGUUGGAGCAACGUCCUUGAGUUGGUUAAUAAGAACCUGCAAAUUAAACAUGGAACUGUGUGAAAUUCCUAGGAGAAGAAUCUUUCUUGUAUAGGAACAACAUUUAAGGAUCAACUCUAUACAAGAUACUACUUGAGAUUGAAACCGUAAAAUAAUUCUCGAGAACUUGAAAGAUUCCUCUCACUCUCAUUCUAUAUAUAAGAAAGUGAUACAAAAGUACAUGAUAAAUAGGAUAAUCCUAGCUGCAGACUUAGGUACUACUAUAUAUAUAUACUAGACACAAUAAUGAUGAUAAAUAGAGAAAAUAUUCUAACAAUACUCAAUUCCUACUGCAAAAAAGAUGACGAGGUAGAGCAAAGUAGGCUUAAAAUAUACAUCAAUGUUUAAGUGUAAAACCAGCAGCUAACUGAAAGAGAAUGCAACGCCUCCAUGACCAGAGAUAUAUGCUGAAUAAUAAGCUAACUUGUAUUUUACUCAUCUACUUGCAUCAAUACAUUGCCCACAGACACAGCAAUAAUUAUGUACAAGAAGCUGUCAGCAAACAAGGAAAAUAAAGGGUCUAUUUUCAUCUUAAAGAUACAGUCCACCAACUAAAAAAUGUAAGAAUUUAAUAUAAAUCUAAUCCCUCAUACAUAAAGAACAUGCUAAAAAGAUUUGAACAAAACUUUUUGUCCACUUUUAUAAACAAUACAUUCACAAGCAAAGUAAAUUUUCCGUCCACCAACUAAAAAAUGUAAGAAUUUAUAUAUAAAUCUAAUCCCUCACACAAAGGGCAUGCUAAAAAAAUCUCAACAAAACUUUUUGUCCACUUUUGUAAGUAAUACAUUCCCAAGUAAAGUAAAUUCUCCAGUAAAUAAAUAUAAUUUAAUGCACAAUAAAAGUCCCAAAAAGGACAAUUAACUUCGUAAAAAAAAUAAGGACAUGUACAUCAUUUCUCCUUCUGCAGAUAAACAUCAAGUUGGUAUAAACUGCAUUAGAAAGAAAUCCAACCUUAGUAGAAUUUAGCUUAAUAAAACAUAGUUUAAUGCAUUACCUGGAAACUAGCUAAAUGUUGCUGAUGCUCUGCAAGGGUUGCUGCUAAAGACUCAGCAUGGCCACUCGAACCCUCUUCCUGUCCACUGCGCAAUAUAUCUGGACCCUCUCCAUCAUUUGCUUUUGACUACAGACAAUGGUAUGGUUUAGAUGUUUCUCUAAGCAAUAAAUAAGAUAACCAAAUAUGACAUGGAUCAACCUACUACUAGUCAUUAUUUUUAUCAACUGAAUAAUAAAGAAAAUAAUCAUGGUCUAUAAUUAAAAUUAAUAAUAAUCACCAAGUAUUUAGAGCAAAAAAGUUUCAUUAUCUUAAUUUUCAAAGUCUGGACUAUAAAAACAAAAACUAUAUUAUUACACACACUAAAAUGAUUCGGGAAAACUUACUCAUGAACAAAACAACAAUGUUAAGAAAAGAACCUUUAUCAUGAUUAUAUAGUUCUAUGUUUUUCCAAAGGUAUAUAUUCAGUGUUAUAAUUAUAGAAAAAAGGGAGAUUUAUUUCAUAAUCAUGCAAAAUUAGGACUUUCUCCCUAGACAAAAAUGCAUAAGACCAUGCCAAGUUUAAAAUAGCUGAAUAAACCUCUUUAUUGAAUUGAAAUAACUGAAUCAAAGAAAACAAACAAUAAUUGAGAGCAGGAUCUCCGUCAGUUACCUCAGAACCUAACCUCUCUUACAAAACUCACAAAUCAAAAGCAUGCCUUUAACCCUAGGCUUCCCCUUUAUUUAUCCUAAUUAAUUCCCUCCCAAAAAGGUACUAAAUAAUAGAAAAUAACCCUAUUUGCUAUAAUUAUCUUAUACAAAUAACUUUAGCCUUAUUCACUAUAUUUAACUUAUACGUAAUAAUAUACUGAGAUAUGGCUGUUACUCUAAUUAUCCUUUGCUGAAUAUCUCUCUUGUUACUCUAAUUAAUUUCCCGCCCAUCCUAACUAUUGUGACAGUUAGGAUGCUUCCUCGUUGCUUCCAACCGCUCGGCCAACUUGCUCCCUGUUGUUCACCGUUCGGCCAUCCUGCUCCCCCCUUUCUACCAUUCGGCCCAUGUCCUCUACCGUUCGGUCAGCUUGCUCCCUUCCUUCUACUGUUCGGUCAGCUCUCUCUCCACCUUCUACCAUCUGGCCAGCUCGCUCCCUAUUGUUAACUAUUCAGCCAUCAUGUUCCCCCCUUUCUACCGUUCGGCCCCUGUCCUCUACCGUUCAGUCUCCUUCUAUUUCCCUCCUAUACUUCCUUCUCUCAUAUACUUGCCAGCCCCUAACAGCGUACAUCUCGCAGCACACUAGUAGUUAGUAUUAUACCAAUACUCAGCCCAAGGAAGCACUACACUCUAGCUUUUUGGUUGCUCUGAGCAAAAGCAUCUCAAAUAACCCUCCAAAACCCUGUUUAAUACUUCCAUAUGCCCAUCAGAUUCAAGAUGAUAGGCAGUACUCAUCUUCAUUUGUGUCCCUUGCAUCUUGAAUAACUCCUUCCAGAAAACACUCAAGAACAAUGGGUCUCGGUCACUAAAAUUGAAGAUUGGUACCCCAUGCAAAUGGACUAUCUCCCUGGAAGAUACUUCCGCUAUGGUGCGGGCAUAAUAAGGGUGUCACAAAGGUAAGAAAUGACUGUAUUUGCUAAGGCAGUCCACCACCACUAGCACAACAUCAUAUCCUUGAGAUUUGGGCAGCUUGACUAUAAAAUCCAUACUUACUUCUUCCCAAAUAGCGCGAGGUAUGGGUAAAGGUUGUAACAACCCUUGAGGGGAGGAGGCUAGGUAUUUAUGUUGUUGGCAUACCAGAUAGCUAGCAACAAAGUUAGUAACCGUCUUCUUCAUCCCUAACCAAUAAAGCGACUGGGCUACCUUGCGGUAGGUCCUGUAAACUCCAGAAGGUCCCACUGUGCUUGUCAUGUGGAACUCGACUAUGAGCUUGGGAAUCCAAGUUGAUUUAGUAGAGAUCAUAAGUCUUCCUUUAUGAUGUAAUUGGUCAUGUUCCAGUGUGAAAGCUGGAUGUGAGUUGGGAUCCUUCCUGAUAUCUUCUAUCACCCGAGCCAAUGCCUCAUCCCCCUUAACCUCCCUCAAAAUUCCCCAACAAGGCCUUGCUACCACCCUCAAUUACUUCUCACCUUCUCCAUUUUCCUCUUUCUUUCGGGAUAACACAUUUGCAGCUCUGUUAGUGCUUCCUGACUUGUAUCUAAUCUCAAAAUCAUACCCUAGUAGUUUUGCUAUCCAGUUCUGCUGAUUCUGGGUAGUGAUGCGUUGUUCUAAUAGGUAUCUAAGGCUUCUUUGAUCAGUGUGAACAACAAAUCUUUGUCCUAAGAGAUACGGCCUCCAAUGCUAUAUAGCCAUGACUAAAGCCAUAAGCUCCUUUUCAUAUAUCGAUUUAUUCAAUGACCCCUCCAACAAUGCUUUGCUAAAGAAAGCAAUAGGUCUUUUUCCUUGGGUGAGAACUGCCCUAAUCCCUCCUCCUGAUGCAUCACACUCUAUAUGGAAAGGCUGAUUAAAAUCAGGUAAUGUCAGCACCGACGUUGUGGUAAUGGCUUCCUUCAGCCUGGCCAUAGUAGCACUGGCCUGUUCUGUCCAUGUGAACUGCCCUCUCUUCAACAACUCUGUCAAGGGCUUGGCAACCUUUCCAUAAUCCUUAACAAAACAUAUGUAGUACCCUGUUAAACCCAAAACGUGAUGAUGGCAUUGGGGGCACUGCUUGUAAGCAACAAGGUCAAGGCAAAAGGUAGUGAGGCUGAAGAAGAGAAGCGUGUGUAUUAAUGUUGAAUAAGUUUUUAGUAGGCCUGACCCAAAUUUUAACAAUGAAUCAGUUUGGCUUUAAACCCAACAGAAGACAAAAAUAAGAUAGCAACCCUGCAUUUAGGGUUUCUUCUUCUUGCCUUACGCUUUUGCCCUCAUGAAUAGGAUUUUUUCUCUACUUUCUUCUUCACAUUGCUACCUUUCUUUCUUCUUAGUGUCACAGCCCCACCUUUUCUGCCAUAUCCGCUCUGCACCCACAGGUCGUUUUGCAAAAAAUGGCCGCCAUGGGUCACCACGAGAAACCCGCUUUGCAUGCCUUAUUGUGGCAGCAGGUUGCAACAGUGCCACUAGUUUCCACCAUGGCGUCGCCAUAACCGAGUUUGAUAACAUUCUGAGGAUUCAUUUACCUCAUUGUACAUGCGGAUGCCAUUGUUGUCACACGUAGUGAUAAAGCAAGUAUUGUCCAACUAAGAAGAUAAGUUAACAAUUUUUUAUCAACGGUUCUAGACAAUAUUUGGACAAUUGAAGUAUUUCCUUGGUUGCACAAUCCAAGGAUGGUUUAGCCAUAUUUUAAAUGCUAACACACCAAUGGAUCCAAGUGUCAAACUUGUGUUUGACCGGGGAGAGUUGUAUUGUAACCAUGGGAGAUAUAGACAAUUAGUUGGUCAGCAAAAUUAGCACAAUAUGAGUCGUCCUGAUAUUGCAUUUGUACACAGCGUAGUAAGUCAAUUCUUAUACCCCCCACGUCAAGAUCAUUGGGAUGUGACCACACAAAUUCUAAAGCAAAUUAGGAAUGCUCCUAGCAAAAUCUUUAUUAUUUAUUUAUGAAGGUAAAGGAAAUACUUAAAUUGUUGAGUAUUCUAGGAGUGACAAGACAGAGCACCAAUAGAUAGAUACUUCACUUCAAGGGAUUGUGUUCUUAUUGGAGAUAAUUUAAUAUCAUGGAAAAGUAAUAAAAAUGUUGUGGAAAUAUCAAGUGCAAAAGUAGAAUACAGGACAAUGGCAUUAGUCACUUGUGAGCUUAUAUAGCUAAGGCAACACCUCAAAAAGCUUAAAUUUGAAGAGAAGUUUAUGAACGCAGCUUAAAUGUGACACUAACAACAUAAUACAUUACCUCUAAUCUAUUUUUUCAUUAGAGAAAACAUUGUCUUUCAACAUUGAAACAAGUAUCCUUUGUAUGGCCACAACUUUUACAAUGCCAACACUAACCCUCCUCUCUCUUGGUGUGCAUCUUUUCCAAAUUUCAAUUUCCAACUUUUGGAAUCUUGUCAACUAUCAAGGCAAUGCUUUCACUAGGUUUCUCAUUCAUCGUAAUCAUCCUCAUGUUUGGCAAUGCUUUCACGCCAAACAAUGCAGAAAGCCUCUCAAAGAGAUGGAAGUGUCUCCUUCCCAAGAAUUUGAGCCCGAAUAAGUUAAUAUUCAGGAUUACAUUCAAAAUUCUUGACCUUUAAGUAGUUCAUGCAAAAGGAGGAACAUUAGUAUUAUUUUCCAAUUCCAAAUCCUAGUUAAUCAAUUUAAUUUAUUUAAAAUUUCAUAGUAAUCAGUCAUUGAAAAAGAAUCAUAAUUGGGACCAAAGACUCUACUUUCCAACUCAUACUACGUACAAAUAUCUUGCCUCACAGAGCAUGUAUGAUGAAGAUUGUUCCAUAUUUUCCUAGUGGUGGAAAAGAGCACAUAGUUCUAGUUAAUCUUCAAUAUUACCCCACAACCAUGUCAUGAAGAGAGAGUCAUCAUCUUUCCAUGUCUCAAAUUGAAGAUCCAACUCAUUGAGAGCAUUCCCUUCAAUAUGACUCAACCUCUUCUGACCCUUCAAUGUCUUACGAAUACAAUGUGCCAUCACAAGAUAAUUAAACCAUUGAGCCAAUUAGCUAUUGGUAGCACAAGAAGAUCAUUAAACGUCAAGAGUACUAAAGGGGUGGACCUAGGCUACUAGCAGCUCAUGGAAGCUUUUUCUCCAGACAUCAUCAAUUACACACUCAUGAAAGAGCACAUGGAUGGUUGGCUUUGCCUAGGGUUCAACCUCAACAAUCAUGACUACCUUGAAACAGAGAGGAGGGGUCAACAAGUCCAGGGGUGGUAGUCUCGCCAUGUUCCAACUUUGGUAAGGCAACGUGUGGCUUACAAGUGCUCAAAAUGUUGACACUCAAUAGCAUGUGUGACCACGAUUCAGGGCUCGAGUCUUUCAAGAAUACAUCAAUCAAGGAUACACCAAGUAUGGAUGCUGGGAAAAAAAUCCAGCAAUGAACAGUGACAGAAUGAAAAGAAGGGGUCGCAAAAAAGACUGUUGAAAAAUGAGAAAAGUGGAAAAUCAUGGUCCACAAGAUUGGGAACUCUAAUGCCAACUUGAAAAAGAGAGGAAUAAUCUUAAUAUUUUGUGAUAAUAAUCUCAGUGUACAAGGUUCCUUUUAUAUCGCUAUGACAAUAAAUUCAUUCCCUGAAUUGGGGGAUUCAAUCUUUCAUGAUUAUGAUAAUAUACUAAUUACACAUAAUAGGGAAUAAAUAAGGAAACAAAAAAAAAUAAUAUUUACAACAUCAAUAAAUUUCCUAUCUUACAAUGUUGGCAUCUCAGAUAUGAACCCAAAACAUAUCACAACAUCACCAUUAUCAGAUUUUUAAAUGAUAAUAAAAAUUAAAAAUUAAAAAAAUGCAAUAUGAGGUGCUUGAUUACAAUAUGAUAUCAGUCCUUGAAGUUCUUUUUUACAGGGUUUUGUGCUCAAAAGGUUUAAAUUUACUAAUGAUUCCCUAUUUAUAAACGCAGUUCAUUAAACCAUUUUUAAACCAUAUCACUAGUAAGCAUAUAAGUGUCUCUUAUUACACAUACAGCUAUAAUAGCCAAAAUUUGACAAGGUAUUUUAAACUUGACAUUUAAACCUCACCUCCUUUUCUCCAAAUGGAUCAAAAAAUGAAGAAACAAAACCAGAGGACAAAAGAGAUGAAAAAAGAUAGUCAUCCACCAAGUUAGAAUGACACCCAAAGCAAUAAAGAGGAACCCGGACUCCUUGCCUCAAAGCAUGCAAGACAUGGGUUCUUCAGGUUAACCAGUAGAUGACUCUAGCAGCCAGCAAUUUUACUAAAGAGCAUUUGCUCAUUUUAUUUUACUCCCUUAUUUUCUCACAUUAAUUCAACAGCUUCAGAUUUUAAGGGUCAUCUAGGUGUCAUCAGAGUGAAAAUAAUACACUGGAGAGUGAACUUUGACAGCAUAGCUCAAUGCAGCAUCUUUUGGGGAUAAACAAGGAGGCUCUAUUGAUUCUUUUCUUCAUUCAGAUCAAUACAGAUUAUCUAAAAUAAAAAAUCGUCUUAGUUGCAGAGUUCAGAUUUGGCUUCAACAAGAUAAUGUCAAACUCAAAGUUGAAGCUAUCCUAUCAUGCUUGAAAGAAAGGAAUUAUAAGGGCAUACCAGAUGAAGUGAUUGUUUGUGGAUACGCUGCAAGGCAUGGGUCCAUCGCCGUAUAACCUCUGCUACAUCAACAGUUUGGUGGACUCUUCCAAUUCUGUCAUCCACCCUCGUUAAUGUCUCAUUGCUAAAAUGUGAUCCAUCAUUUUCUUCUUUGUUAUCAAUAGCAGAAAAAUCUCCAGGCUGACCAGAUAAUACAUCUGAAUAUGGAGCUUGAGAACUCUGAUCCAUUGCUGCAAGCAAAGAUGAUCCAGAAAUUCGAUACCUGAAAUUUUUCAUUAAAACGUAAGCUGGUAAUUUGGAAUACACGUAUUGGAAAGGCAAGGCAGGCUACAUCACAAGAUUACCUGUGUUCUCGAUGAGCAAUCAGGUCCUCGAUAGGACCAGAUGCAAGGACUUCAUGUUGACCUGUAUCAAAAGCUCAAUAUCAUCAUAAGCUUACUCUUUUUAAUAAAACAGUAAAAAAAUUAUAUAAAAAAAAGGAUUCUAGGUCGUGGAGAGACAAAGCAAGGAAUCAUAAUAUCAUAAUUGAAAGGAUACUACCAAUACCAAUGGGUUUAUCAUCAACAUUGAUCAUGGAAAAUGUAAUAGGCAUAUCAGAUAUGAUAAAGUAAAAAUAAAAACUUCAAAAAUUUACAAUUUUGUAUAGCUAAACCACAAAAAUGGCAGAAUCAUCUUAGAAUACACUGAGAAGAGCAAAAACUUACCAUUACUCGUUUCAUAAAUACAGAAAUACAAUUGUAAACAUAUAAUGCCAGAAAUCAAACUCACUAGAAUUACAUGAUUCAUUAGACAUGGAAAGUGCAAAAGCAUUAUUAAUAAUUGCACUUACUUUUACGGGCUAAUAAAGAGUCCCAUAGUCUAGUGGCCUUUGAAACUAAAUGGGAAUUCUGACUUGAACUGGAGACAAGAUCGUCCCAGAGCUCUCCUUCCAACUUCACUUUAUUCCUCAAGUCAUGGAGUUUUUCCAAUUCUUGUUGCAAAUAAGCCUGAAUUCAUAUUUAAUAUUGUAAUUGCAUAAGUAACAAAUACAUAAGGUAUAUUCCUGAUGGGAAAGAGGAUAUGAACUAUAUACACAAUACAUAACAUAUGCAAGACGGAUUUGGUACAAAGCACUUCGUAAUUGGUAUACCUCUUCAGCACAUAAGCCUCGAAAUUCACCUGUCAUUUCAUGAGCCAAAUUUGACCACAUAGCCUGACGUUGUACAGCCAUCUCUGCAUUCUUAAGAAACUUUCUUCUUUCAAGGGCUAUUCUUGCCUGUUUAAGACCAAAGACUCCAUUGAGUAACUUAAAGACCAAGUGAAUCAACAUAAAAAUUAAAACUCUUCUUUCCCAUUUUCAUCACUAUUUGCAUAUGAGAAGAAGUCAUAGGAAACACACAAAGACAAAGUAUUAUUGAUACUUUGUACGACUUCAAUUUAGAAAAACAAUUAGACAAGAAGGAGAAAAAACACUUCAGAACAGCCAGAAUGACCCUUUGGCAAUAUAUAGAAAACAUGCCAAACUAGUCAUAUAAUGGCAUCAAAUACAACAACUCAUGCAGAUAUUCCCCAUAACAAUAGUCACUUCGUUCUUAACCUUUUUAAGAAAUAACACAAUUACCUUUGUGACUGGAAGUAGUGUAGCUGCAUGUGAGAAGGCUACAUCAGUCAAUGGAGCGGGCAAUGGGUUAGAAGAUAUGUCAGCAGUAAAUGUCCUUCGAUGAACCUCUCUUAAAGCAUGCAAAGAAAGUCGCCAUAGAAGCUCAACAAACCUACAUAAGAAUGAAGACUUAUAUAACUUUAGAACUGUCAUUAACAAAAUCGAAAUAAUGAGCUUCAAUUACCAUCUUACCAUAUCCGACUACUAUUAAAACAUAUAGCAAAAGCUUUAACUCACAUGGUUGGGUCCGACAGAAUAAACCAAGUCUUUAAGAUCGGUCCUUUUUAAUUCAAUUAUUUUUUCAUAAUCUCUCUUUACCUGUCUUCCAGCAUAUCAGUUCUUCGUAUUAUGGCUUCAUAUUAGUCUUCUCCACAUAUGACAAACAAGUUUAGGUUAUAUUCUAAUUGUACCAUCUCUCAAAUGCAUUAACUCCCAAUACUGUCUUGCAUGUUCACUCAUCUACAACACUUAGCUUAUGCUCGUUUUAGGUCUUUACCGACCAGCAUUCAGUAUCAUAAAUCAAUGAUUUUACCGUUAAUAGUACUGUAAUGAGUACUAUUUAGGGGAAAGGUCUCAUACACUCUAUACCUCUAGCUACUUUGUUCAGUUCAGCAAUUCUUCAAAUAACUCUUAAACUGUUAGCAGAUUACAAAGUGUCCAUGAUUUCACUGAUUAUCGAUAUCGAUCCAUCAAUAAUGCACCAAAUUGCUAAAAAGACAAGACCCUUAAAUCAAACUCAUUUCACCCCCACUCAUCGGGAUCAAGACAGCCAGCUACACGCAAACACAAAUCAGCAUAUCAUCACGCAAUCAAUCACACGCAAACACACUAACCUAGGUCCACAGCACGUAGCAAGUGAAGAAACCCUUGAAUUACUCCUCGGUAACGCUCCCUGCGACUCAAGCUCGCUAAUAAUCCCUUGCACAACCUUUUCCAGCGCCAUCCAAACACAUUUACUCAAAUUACAUAAAAAAAAAUAGAAACAAAAGAAAAAAAAAACAAAAUAGAUAUACCUUACGAAAAUCACGCGACUGCGCGGAAUCGAAAAUGGGCCAGACCUUGUCGAAAUCCUGGUUGAUCGAGAAAACGCGGGUUAGAGUUAGCGGGAGAGAUUAUAUAGGAAACGAGACUAGUACCGAAAGUGGAUUGAGACAUACUUUGGCGGAUUGAAUUGGACCUCUGAGAGAUGAAAGGAUGAAGUAGAGAAGCUGUUCCCCCAAUUUAGGGUUCGAGUGACGGAAAUGCCCGACCCGAGGAGUCGCGUUGGAUGCUCCGACUCCGAUAAUCGCUUGAUCCAGUCCCAACAACAAGCAAUUCGUGUACAUUGCACUCUCCAGCCCUAUCUCUCUCUCCUUCUCUCUGUCCAUCGUCAUCACCUUCUCUCACACACUCUCUUUAUAUUCUUCUUCUUCUUCUUCCUCUUCGGUGUUCUGUAUGUGUUUCGGUUGCUUCGUUUUCUUCCUCCGAUCCUGGUCUAUCGUGACGUGUAAUUGUGUUUUCGAUUUUUGAUUUUUGUUGUUUUAUAUUUUCAGGGUUGAGAUCCCUGGGAAAGUCCGAAAUUGCGAAGCAGUACCAUAAUUUGAAAAGCAGGGGUGGGUUUGGAAUUUCGGAAAGUUUAGGUUUUGUAAAUUGG